This 389-nucleotide ribosomal RNA is filed under the name uncultured bacterium. RNAcentral's name for it is "bacterial SSU rRNA". It matches the Rfam family "Bacterial small subunit ribosomal RNA", at positions 30 to 417 of the family's 1533-position model. The record is from RNAcentral.
AUUGAACGCUGGCGGCAUGCUUUACACAUGCAAGUCGAACGGCAGCACGGGUGCUUGCACCUGGUGGCGAGUGGCGGACGGGUGAGUAAUACAUCGGAACGUAUCCAGAAGAGGGGGAUAACGCAUCGAAAGAUGUGCUAAUACCGCAUAUUCUCUGAGGAGGAAAGCAGGGGAUCGCAAGACCUUGCGCUUUUGGAGCGGCCGAUGUCUGAUUAGCUAGUUGGUGGGGUAAAGGCCUACCAAGGCGACGAUCAGUAGUUGGUCUGAGAGGACGACCAGCCACACUGGGACUGAGACACGGCCCAGACUCCUACGGGAGGCAGCAGUGGGGAAUUUUGGACAAUGGGCGCAAGCCUGAUCCAGCAAUGCCGCGUGAGUGAAGAAGGCCU